RNAcentral lists this ribosomal RNA (550 nucleotides) under uncultured bacterium. RNAcentral describes it as "bacterial SSU rRNA". It matches the Rfam family "Bacterial small subunit ribosomal RNA", at positions 355 to 896 of the family's 1533-position model. The record is from RNAcentral.
UGGGGAAUAUUGGACAAUGGGCGCCCNCCUGAUCCAGCCAUACCGCGUGGGUGAAGAAGGCCUUCGGGUUGUAAAGCCCUUUUGUUGGGAAAGAAAUCCUAUCGGUUAAUAACCGGUGGGGAUGACGGUACCCAAAGAAUAAGCACCGGCUAACUUCGUGCCAGCAGCCGCGGUAAUACGAAGGGUGCAAGCGUUACUCGGAAUUACUGGGCGUAAAGCGUGCGUAGGUGGUGGUUUAAGUCUGCUGUGAAAGCCCUGGGCUCAACCUGGGAAUUGCAGUGGAUACUGGAUCACUAGAGUGUGGUAGAGGGAUGCAGAAUUUCUGGUGUAGCAGUGAAAUGCGUAGAGAUCAGAAGGAACAUCCGUGGCGAAGGCGGCAUCCUGGGCCAACACUGACACUGAGGCACGAAGGCGUGGGGAGCAAACAGGAUUAGAUACCCUGGUAGUCCACGCCCUAAACGAUGCGAACUGGAUGUUGGGUGCAACUUGGCACCCAGUAUCGAAGCUAACGCGUUAAGUUCGCCGCCUGGGGAGUACGGUCGCAAGACUG